Long non-coding RNA from Eufriesea mexicana, 984 nucleotides. RefSeq lists it as uncharacterized. NCBI's taxonomy places the organism in Eukaryota, Metazoa, Arthropoda, Insecta, Hymenoptera, Apidae. The record is from RefSeq and is a predicted model, not a curated record. The transcript is spliced from 2 exons.
ACUCGCUACUUUGCUUUAUUAUAACUUACACGAGUUAUAGUAGAUAAAUGGUAUAAACCUCAAUGAACGCUAUUUUAAUUAAUCUACAUAUGGAAAUUAUGUGUAUAUAAUAUAAAUAGAAGAGGAAUGUUAACCUAUCACUCGCCUUUAACCUAAUAUGUGAUAAUCUACGACAGCACGAUCGCAGCCAAUUAGCUCGUAUUACUUGCUAUAUAAUUUAUAUUUGUAUCACAACUAUUAGCUAUAGAUGACACAACUAUAGAGUGAUACAAUAAGAAAUUAUAUGUCAAAUAAUAACGAUUGCCCAGGUCCCACCACGAGGAGGUGCUGCGAGUGGAGACCCACCCUAACCACGACCCAUCCACCCACCUUUUGCGAAAAACUACUAAUAUUCAACUAUAUUUCGUUUUUGAUGCACGUUUGCAAAACGUUCAAUUUUUGAUCGCUGUGUAAAUCGAACAUCAAAAGAAUUUAAGCAAACAGCCGACGCGGAAGACUAAACCUAGAAGUACAAGAUAAAUUGAACCUAGAAAUAAAAGAUGAAUUAAACCUGGAAAUAAAAGAUAAGUAAAACCUGGAAACAGAAAACAAAUUAAACAUAGCAGAAACAGAUAAAUUAUGUGAGAUAAAUUAUGUGCAUUAAAAGGAUAAAAAUAAGUAGUAGACAACCAACAACAAUAGCAACCAACAAAGAAAAUCCAAAGAUAAUGAAUGCACAGAAAAAAAAAAAUAUGGUUGCCAAUCUUGAGUAAUCCAGAUAUUUUGGAAUUCCAAUAGGAAAUUCCAUAGGGAGGUCAAGAGUAUUUUUCACGCUUUCCUAUCAAAUAUCAGAUGGAUUUCUAUAGGACCACUUAUCACAAAUCUAUAGACUUUUAUACAACCACCCUAUUACACACCUAAAGAGUAUUUAUAUAACCAACCAGACACACAUCUCGAGAGAAUUUCAGACAUCCUAUUUACGUCUGAAACUAAGGAUUAAAUCAG